RNAcentral lists this ribosomal RNA (421 nucleotides) under uncultured bacterium. Its description in RNAcentral is "bacterial SSU rRNA". It matches the Rfam family "Bacterial small subunit ribosomal RNA", at positions 356 to 768 of the family's 1533-position model. The record is from RNAcentral.
GGGGAAUUUUGCGCAAUGGGGGAAACCCUGACGCAGCAACGCCGCGUGGGUGAUGAAGGCCUUCGGGUCGUAAAGCUCUGUCUGGAGGGAAGAAAUGAUUGGGAGCUAAUACCUCCUGAUCUUGACGGUACCUCUGAAGGAAGCACCGGCUAACUCCGUGACAGCAGCCGCGGUAAUACGGAGGGUGCAAGCGUUGUUCGGAAUUAUUGGGCGUAAAGCGCGUGUAGGCGGUCUUUUAAGUCUGAUGUGAAAGCCCCGGGCUCAACCUGGGAAGUGCAUUGGAAACUGGGAGGCUUGAGUACGGGAGAGGACAGUGGAAUUCCUAGUGUAGGAGUGAAAUCCGUAGAUAUUAGGAGGAACACCGGUGGCGAAGGCGGCUCUCUGGACCGAUACUGGCGCUGAGACGCGAAAGCGUGGGUAG